GGCCGUUGGGAGGUGGCCACCUCCCCGGCUGGAGAAAGAUGUAGGUGACCGUGGGAGAGCACCAUCUCCACGGCACUUGGUGUUCAGAUAUGGCAAAGUAUGAAAGAACUUAGACUGCGCAGUCGAACAAAGAUUUUAGUUGAGCAGUGACGGUGGGGAAUGCUGAGCAGAGUUUAUAAUUUUCUUUAUAUUUUAAGUAGAGACUCUCAGAGGUGCAUGUCUCCAUACAUGUGACCGUGUUCAUUCCGCUGCGUAUUGUUCUUCUAUAAUCUGAUAAAUAUUUAUUGAAGAAUAAAAUUUCCAUUCAA
Molecule: non-coding RNA, 308 nt
Organism: Salvia hispanica
Lineage: Eukaryota; Viridiplantae; Streptophyta; Magnoliopsida; Lamiales; Lamiaceae
Source: RefSeq, a predicted model, not a curated record